UUCCUUUUGAUCUUGAAAAGAGGCAACCACUGGUCACAACUGCCUCUGAUGGUUAGUGGAAGUUUGAGUCCUGGGGCAGCUGUUCCUUUAAAAACAUUAUCAAGAACAACUGGACCCUGCAUUAAGCCAGAGAGAUCAAAACUAAUUGCCGGAACGAGAAGCACAUGCCAUUUGGCAUUCACUGCCUCUGUCCCAAGGACAGCCUUGGAAAAUUGUGUAAUCAACUAAGAGCAUGCAGCAUCCAGAGUGACCUCUAUAUUCAUCUCAGUGCCAUUCUCUUCAGUAUCCCCAGUGCUUAUCAUGAUGCCCAGCAAAUAUUUGAAAUCUAUUCUAUGUUCAUUAAAGAAGACAACGUGAGGAUCUCAGGGAGAAGGUCAGCAUAAAACAUCUCUCUUCCCUUUCUAUGUCAUUGACUUCACCAUUCAAAUUACAGCAAAGGUGUUUCCAGUUGUGGAAUCCACUGUUUAUUUGAAGGAAGGAAUCUAACAUUAAUUGUAUGGCUGCAGGGAAUUGGGCUAGAACCUUUCGUUUCUUAAUCCUCAAAUGCUCUUUUGAGUCAAACAUUCAUGGUUCCUCUUAGCAGAAGAAACAGAGGCCCAUGUAAGUAACUUGCCUAAAUUUACAAGACUAGUAAGUAGUAGAGUGGCAUCUGAAUGCAGGUUGUCUGACUCCAAGAACUGUUACUGUUGUACAUACCUGCUUACUAGAGAGUGUUGCCAAGAGAAAAGAGCUUGGACUGCAGAAUUAGGUGGACCUGUAUUUAAAUCCUGACCAUGUCACUUAGUAGCUUUGUAAUUUUGAGUAUGUGUCUUAGUCUUAGUGAAUCUCAACUUCCUUAUCUCAUAUGACUGUUAUGAAGAGUAAAUAAGAUAUGUAAGCACCUAGCACAAUGCCUGGUGCUAAAUACUUAACACAUGGUAGGUAUAAAAUAUUAUUAAUAGAAACCUGGAACUCAAGAAGACAGGCAUAUUCAUUUCUUCGCUCUCUUCUAAUUUAAAAGAAGCUUGGGUGAGAAAACUUGAAAUAAAUGCCCUUGGUCAAUAGUCUGCUUUGCUUUCAUCAUUGCCUCUUCCUGCCACAAAUGUUUUCAAGCUCAAACUUACUGAAAGAGGUUUCCUCAUCAGUGAUGAGUGCUUUUGUAACUCACUCAAAACCUACAAGAAAGAGUCACAAUUUAGUAGUGCUGAGAUGUUGUUGUUUUGGGCAACAGCUACAUUUGGGACAUUAGAAGUGGUAGAAUGGGAAGUUUUCCAAAGCAGUGGAAGAGUAUGUCAUGUGACGCAGCAGCUGUGCUUCCUCAUGGGAUUGUCUCCCUAGUGGAACAUUUCCCCAAAGCUACACUUUUCCUAUCCUACCAGGAGGGUGAAUAAAGUGUGUAUCUCAAACGCCUCUGGUAACAAUUUCUUUCCCAACCAACCCUUCACACUGCGUUGUUUAAAAGACAAAUCUUUUUAAAAAUGCAAAUGUGUGUAUGUCAUUCUCUUGUUUAAAGCCUCCAAUGCACCCUCCUGACACUUUUCACUGUUUUACAAGCCUCACCACUGUUU
Molecule: long non-coding RNA, 1547 nt
Organism: Trichechus manatus latirostris (Florida manatee)
Lineage: Eukaryota; Metazoa; Chordata; Mammalia; Sirenia; Trichechidae
Exons: 3
Source: RefSeq, a predicted model, not a curated record